CACGGACCGCACGAACGUUAUUCGGAAUCACUGGGCUUAAAGGGUGCGUAGGCGGCUUGGCAAGUUGGGUGUGAAAGCCCUCGGCUCAACCGAGGAAUUGCGCUCAAUACUGCCGAGCUCGAGAGAGACAGAGGUAAGCGGAACUAAUGGUGGAGCGGUGAAAUGCGUUGAUAUCAUUAGGAACACCGGUGGCGAAGGCGGCUUACUGGGUCUUGUCUGACGCUGAGGCACGAAAGCCAGGGGAGCGAACGGG
RNAcentral lists this ribosomal RNA (253 nucleotides) under uncultured bacterium. RNAcentral's name for it is "partial 16S ribosomal RNA". It matches the Rfam family "Bacterial small subunit ribosomal RNA", at positions 524 to 776 of the family's 1533-position model. The record is from RNAcentral.